RNAcentral lists this long non-coding RNA (1727 nucleotides) under Homo sapiens (human). Its description in RNAcentral is "HSALNT0140968". The record is from RNAcentral. Lineage: Eukaryota; Metazoa; Chordata; Mammalia; Primates; Hominidae.
CUAGCUUAAAGCCUGACUAUGAUCAUGAUCCAAGAAACUAGAGAAAUCUUAAGAGUUGUUGUGGUUGGCUGCUUUCCAUCUUCUCAGAUAAUUUUACCCAAACAGUGGCGUGAAGGAGAUACACGCCCCCAUCCCAGGAAGAGAAUAAUGAAAGGAGGGAUCAGGCAGAACCUAUUGGAGCACCCACAGACCUCCAGCACCCUGCAGCCAGUUGCAGGCCUCAGGCAGCCAAGGACCUGACUUUAGGCUUUCAGACCAGGGGACCUCCUUUGUGGAGCAGUUGCGUGGAAUUGCUGCCCCAAUCCUGGCCCUUCCUGAACCAACCCACUCGUUUUGUAACUCCAUUUUCCUGUCCAUCGAGCACCCCAGCCCCAUGACGGCCAAGCCAGAUCAGCCUUGUUCAAUUGGCUUGGUUACUUAGCUUUAGACCUUGAGUCCUGCUGGCCGCCUGCUGGGUUCUCCUAUACAGGGCUUAUGUGCAUAUCUGGAUGGGGGCUUCCCAGUGCCCUUUCGCAGCGGCCCUCCGGCCUCUACACUUCCUCCUCUGGGUAGCAGCUCUCCUUGGUCUCCAGCAGCCACUCCAGAGGCUGCAGCUCAGAAAUGCCUAGGUACCAGUGACCAGCCUGCUCCUCAACCUCCCUGGCCAGCUAGUCUUGGUUGCCCUGUUUUCUGAAACGUACCUCCACAUCACAGGCCACUCUUGGCUGCUUGAGCUGCACUGUGAGUAAGUUGUUCUGCUUGCUGUCCUGUGCACAGUCGAUUUCUGUGACGGGGAAGGCCUGCUGCUGUGUGUCCUCACUGACACUCACCACGAAGAGCACUUCUGAUGUCAGCAGCAAGCACCCUUCAUGCUCCUGGCCUGAGCCCCUCACCAGAACCACGUCCAGGGCCAUGUGGACUUCUGGUCUGCCCAGAGACUGAAGCAUUUUCCUGUUUAAAAGGAGAAAAGUGAGGCCAGGGGCCAGCUGUGAAAAGAUGGUCACUUAUCAGUGCUCAUUAUUUACCAAUGGGGCAACCUCCACAAGGGCAAAGGGCCCUCACCAAUCCAGUUACCCAUUUUAGCUUGAAAUGUAAUUGUCAGUUCUCAGACUGAUUCUGAUUAACAGAACCUGCUUCCUCCUGGGAACAAAGAUUUCCCUUGGUUUUGCUUAUUAGCUCCUUUUCUCCCCAUUAGAAAUAGCACCUCUAAUUAGAGUGCUGGUUCCACAGGGAAUCUCAGGCCCUCUAGCAAGACUGGGUUUCUCUGCCAAUGUAUGACCUUCCUUGAGUGGUUAGGUACGGAACAGAGGAGUUGUGCAGCCAGCCCCAAACCUGGCAACAGCAGCCUCUUCCUGUCCCUCUACAGUGCUCUUGUGCUGCCUGAGAUGCCAGUGCCAACAAUGGCUACUCCUGGGCUCCCUGGAAGCAUGGCCCAUUAGCUUGAGAGCAAGCCAGGAGCUAUUAACAUACAAUAUGGAUGUAAAGUUGAGCACGUAUCUCAAUAAUUUUACCAGACAUAUUUGACAUGGCUGUUUGGAGCCUGGUCAGCAUGUAGAUCACUUGGCUGAUGGCGCUGUUUGGGAAGCUGAGAAAGUCCAGCUCCAUGUAAAAUACCUGUGGUAAGAGAAGUAAGGGAGUUUUACUACUUGUUUUCUGGAAAACAGUUUCAUGCUGCAAUGAUGUCAUCUGUUCAGAGCCAUCCAUAAAAUGUUACAGAUCCAAAAUGAUGUCACAUCUUUGGAAGCAAG